UGGGGGAUUUUGGACAAUGGGCGAAAGCCUGAUCCAGCAAUGCCGCGUGUGUGAAGAAGGCCUUCGGGUUGUAAAGCACUUUUGUCCGGAAAGAAAUCCUUGGCUCUAAUACAGUCGGGGGAUGACGGUACCGGAAGAAUAAGCACCGGCUAACUACGUGCCAGCAGCCGCGGUAAUACGUAGGGUGCAAGCGUUAAUUGGAAUUACUGGGCGUAAAGCGUGCGCAGGCGGUUUGCUAAGACCGAUGUGAAAUCCCCGGGCUCAACCUGGGAACUGCAUUGGUGACUGGCAGGCUAGAGUAUGGCAGAGGGGGGUAGAAUUCCACGUGUAGCAGUGAAAUGCGUAGAGAUGUGGAGGAAUACCGAUGGCGAAGGCAGCCCCCUGGGCCAAUACUGACGCUCAUGCACGAAAGCGUGGGGAGCAAACAGGAUUAGAUACCCUGGUAGUCCACGCCCUAAACGAUGUCAACUAGUUGUUGGGGAUUCAUUUCCUUAGUAACGUAGCUAACGCGUGAAGUUGACCGCCUGGGGAGUAC
RNAcentral lists this ribosomal RNA (535 nucleotides) under uncultured bacterium. RNAcentral's name for it is "partial 16S ribosomal RNA". It matches the Rfam family "Bacterial small subunit ribosomal RNA", at positions 355 to 883 of the family's 1533-position model. The record is from RNAcentral.